Molecule: ribosomal RNA, 490 nt
Filed under: uncultured bacterium
Lineage: Bacteria
Description: partial 16S ribosomal RNA
Rfam family: Bacterial small subunit ribosomal RNA
Source: RNAcentral
GAUGAACGCUAGCUACAGGCUUAACACAUGCAAGUCGCGGGGCAGCAUGGGGGUUGCUUGCAAUCCCCGAUGGCGACCGGCGCACGGGUGAGUAACGCGUAUCCAACCUGCCCUUCACCACGGGAUAACCCGGCGAAAGUCGGACUAAUACCGUAUGUUGUCCAUUGACGGCAUCCGAUUUGGACGAAAGGUUUGGCGGUGAAGGAUGGGGAUGCGUCCGAUUAGCUGGACGGCGGGGUGACGGCCCACCGUGGCGACGAUCGGUAGGGGUUCUGAGAGGAAGGGCCCCCAAACUGGAACUGGGACCACGUCCAGACGCCUACGGGAGGCAGCAGUGAGGAAUAAUGGGCCAUGGGCGUAAGCCUGAACCAGCCAAGUAGCGUGCAGGAUGACGGCCCUAUGGGUUGUAAACUGCUUUUAUGCGGGGAUAAAGUGGCCCACGUGUGGGUUUUUGCAGGUACCGCAUGAAUAAGGACCGGCUAAUUCCGUG